GCGGGACUAGCUCAGUUGGUAGAGCAUCAGCUUCCCAAGCUGGAGGUCGCGAGUUCAAGCCUCGUGUCCCGCUCCG
Molecule: transfer RNA, 76 nt
Filed under: Deltaproteobacteria bacterium
Lineage: Bacteria; Pseudomonadati; Myxococcota; Myxococcia
Description: tRNA-Gly
Rfam family: tRNA
About the family: Transfer RNA (tRNA) molecules are approximately 80 nucleotides in length. Their secondary structure includes four short double-helical elements and three loops (D, anti-codon, and T loops).
Source: RNAcentral